This 70-nucleotide transfer RNA is filed under the name Trichonephila inaurata madagascariensis. It matches the Rfam family "tRNA". From Rfam's summary of the family: Transfer RNA (tRNA) molecules are approximately 80 nucleotides in length. Their secondary structure includes four short double-helical elements and three loops (D, anti-codon, and T loops). The record is from Rfam by way of RNAcentral. Lineage: Eukaryota; Metazoa; Arthropoda; Arachnida; Araneae; Nephilidae.
GGGAGUAUAGCUCAGUGGUAGAGCAUUCGACUGCAGCUCGAAAGGUCCCCUUCAAACCCGGGUUUCCUCU